This 1623-nucleotide ribosomal RNA is filed under the name Klebsiella pneumoniae. Its description in RNAcentral is "23S ribosomal RNA". It matches the Rfam family "Bacterial large subunit ribosomal RNA", at positions 1323 to 2925 of the family's 2925-position model. Lineage: Bacteria; Pseudomonadati; Pseudomonadota; Gammaproteobacteria; Enterobacterales; Enterobacteriaceae. The record is from RNAcentral.
GAAAAGCCCGCUCGCCGGAAGACCAAGGGUUCCUGUCCAACGUUAAUCGGGGCAGGGUGAGUCGACCCCUAAGGCGAGGCCGAAAGGCGUAGUCGAUGGGAAACAGGUUAAUAUUCCUGUACUUGGUGUUACUGCGAAGGGGGGACGGAGAAGGCUAUGUUAGCCGGGCGACGGUUGUCCCGGUUUAAGCAUGUAGGCUGGUUAUCCAGGCAAAUCCGGAUAACCAAGGCUGAGGUGUGAUGACGAGGCACUACGGUGCUGAAGUAACAAAUGCCCUGCUUCCAGGAAAAGCCUCUAAGCAUCAGGUAACAUCAAAUCGUACCCCAAACCGACACAGGUGGUCAGGUAGAGAAUACCAAGGCGCUUGAGAGAACUCGGGUGAAGGAACUAGGCAAAAUGGUGCCGUAACUUCGGGAGAAGGCACGCUGGUGUGUAGGUGAAGCCCCUGCGGGUGGAGCUGAGACCAGUCGAAGAUACCAGCUGGCUGCAACUGUUUAUUAAAAACACAGCACUGUGCAAACACGAAAGUGGACGUAUACGGUGUGACGCCUGCCCGGUGCCGGAAGGUUAAUUGAUGGGGUUAUCAGUAAGGAGAAGCUCUUGAUCGAAGCCCCGGUAAACGGCGGCCGUAACUAUAACGGUCCUAAGGUAGCGAAAUUCCUUGUCGGGUAAGUUCCGACCUGCACGAAUGGCGUAAUGAUGGCCAGGCUGUCUCCACCCGAGACUCAGUGAAAUUGAACUCGCUGUGAAGAUGCAGUGUACCCGCGGCAAGACGGAAAGACCCCGUGAACCUUUACUAUAGCUUGACACUGAACAUUGAGCCUUGAUGUGUAGGAUAGGUGGGAGGCUUUGAAGCGUGGACGCCAGUCUGCGUGGAGCCAACCUUGAAAUACCACCCUUUAAUGUUUGAUGUUCUAACGUUGGCCCCUGACCGGGGUUGCGGACAGUGUCUGGUGGGUAGUUUGACUGGGGCGGUCUCCUCCCAAAGCGUAACGGAGGAGCACGAAGGUUAGCUAAUCCUGGUCGGACAUCAGGAGGUUAGUGCAAUGGCAUAAGCUAGCUUGACUGCGAGCGUGACGGCGCGAGCAGGUGCGAAAGCAGGUCAUAGUGAUCCGGUGGUUCUGAAUGGAAGGGCCAUCGCUCAACGGAUAAAAGGUACUCCGGGGAUAACAGGCUGAUACCGCCCAAGAGUUCAUAUCGACGGCGGUGUUUGGCACCUCGAUGUCGGCUCAUCACAUCCUGGGGCUGAAGUAGGUCCCAAGGGUAUGGCUGUUCGCCAUUUAAAGUGGUACGCGAGCUGGGUUUAGAACGUCGUGAGACAGUUCGGUCCCUAUCUGCCGUGGGCGCUGGAGAAUUGAGGGGGGCUGCUCCUAGUACGAGAGGACCGGAGUGGACGCAUCACUGGUGUUCGGGUUGUCAUGCCAAUGGCACUGCCCGGUAGCUAAAUGCGGAAGAGAUAAGUGCUGAAAGCAUCUAAGCACGAAACUUGCCCCGAGAUGAGUUCUCCCUGAGACUUUAAGUCUCCUGAAGGAACGUUAAAGACGAUGACGUUGAUAGGCCGGGUGUGUAAGCGCAGCGAUGCGUUGAGCUAACCGGUACUAAUGAACCGUGAGGCUUAACCUU